GCAAGUCGAGCGAGAAAGGUCUUCGGACUGAGUAGAGCGGCGAAAGGGUGAGUAAAACGUAAAUAACCUACACUUAAGAUUGGGACAACCUUGAUCACGCGAGGCUAAUACCAAAUGUGGUCAUUUUUUCUCAUGGAGAGAUGAUUAAAACUACGGUGCUUAAGGAUGGAGUUGCGGACUAUUAGCUAGUUGGUAAGGUAAUGGCUUACCAAGACGAUGAUAGAUAGCCGACCUGAGAGGGUGAUC
This 246-nucleotide ribosomal RNA is filed under the name uncultured bacterium. Its description in RNAcentral is "partial 16S ribosomal RNA". It matches the Rfam family "Bacterial small subunit ribosomal RNA", at positions 57 to 305 of the family's 1533-position model. The record is from RNAcentral.